Molecule: long non-coding RNA, 4268 nt
Organism: Ictalurus punctatus (channel catfish)
Lineage: Eukaryota; Metazoa; Chordata; Actinopteri; Siluriformes; Ictaluridae
Source: Ensembl
CGUGUCUAUAAGAAAAUAGCACAAGCAGUGAAAAUGCCCAUUUCCACGAUCAGGGCAAUAAUUAAGAAGUUCCAGUCAACUGAAAAUGUUAUGAAUCAACCUGGACAUGUGUCUAUAUCGUCUCAACGCACUAUGAAGAGGAUGGUUUGAGUGGCCAAAAAAAUCUCCAAGGAUCACAGCUGGAGAAUUGCAGAAGUUAGUUGAGUCUUGGGGUCAGAAAGUCUCCAAAACUACAAUCUGAAGUCACCUACAUCACCACAAGUUGUUUGGAAGGGUUUCAACAAAAAAAGACUCUCAUACAAAAACAAACUCGAGCGUCUUCAGUUCGCCAGACACUACUGGAACUUCAAAUGGGAUCGGGUUCUAUGGGCAGAUGAAACCAAAAUAGAGCUUUUUGGUAAUAAACACCAGAGGUGGUUUUGGUGCACACAGAGAGGUAGCCAUAUGGAAAAGUACCUCAUGCCCACGGUUAAAUAUGGUGGUGGCUCUUUAAUGCUUUGGGGCUGUUUUUCUGCCAGAACAAAAGAUUUGAACAAAAGAUCAAAAGGUUAAACAACAAAAGACAAUUUUUCACAGCCUUCUUCGCUCAUAUUUACCACGAUGUCCAAUAUUAGUGGAGGGCACUGUAGCUACCUUGCACAGCUGGGCUAAAGACUCCAUAUUGCACUUAUUUAUGAGUUAUUCCUAUUUGUUUGGUUAUAUCACCAUCCCUCUCUCUCCAUCUGUCUUUCCCCAGUCUUUCCUUACAUAACUCAGUCCUGCCUGACUGACACUAAUAACGCUUGUCAUUCUGUGUGAAGGGCUGUGUGUCACACAAGGCUCUGCAGCUGUUUAUGUGCUUACAGCCAGCCUGAUAUGCAUACUUCUAUAUACAUACAUAUAAAUAUACAGUACAUUCAUGGCAGUUCAAUGACAGCACAGAAUGUUCCGUCCAAAAAUGGCUUCCACAUCAAACACACUGACCCCUGCAGAAUUCAAAAUCGGACCAGUUAACGUUUUCCAAAUUCAGGUCAUCCCAGUUUACUUCUAAUGCAGUUAGAAACUGGAAACAUUAUUUGCACCACAGUUAACACCAACAUUACUAGCACCUCCAGACAAUGAUUUAGUGUUAAGACAACCUUUGUAUGUAGGUUUGGGUCCAUUAACAUAUUGAAACAAAAAUGCUGGGCUAAAUAACGCCCAAAGUGAUGCCAUAAAUCUUCUUAAUAACCCCUGGACCACUUGAUGCAAAACAUGCCAAAAUUGUGGUGUUGCUCUUAUUAAGGGGUUCUUCUAUGCAACCCUUCUAAAGAGAUUUUCAUUAUGGUGGUAUAGUUCAAACUUUUUGAUUGUGGUUUUUUUUUUUUUUUUUUUAUCAGUGAAAUUCUCUAAACUUCAUUCUGAUAAUAGUUCAGUAUUAUACAUCUGUAUUUGAUUUUAAACCUGUAAGCAAAUACAGCCCUUAUAUUUGAACUGCCUGCUCAUGCAACACAAGGAUCACACCCAAACCAACAGAUGCAAAACAACAAAGGACCAUUUUGCAUCAAGUUGAAAGCAAAUUUUCACAUGAGAUCUUUAUACACAGGUUAUGCAACUUUAGAAUUUAUGAUACCAGCUACAAAGAAUGUUGUUAGAAUGUAUCUGACAAACGAGCUUUUAUAACAUUAACUUUAAAUGGCAUAUGUUGAAUCUAUGUUAAAAUAUGAACUAGCAUUACAGAAAACAGGCUAAACUAUUAACUAGCAUUACAGAAAACAGGUUAAAAUAUUAACUAGCAUUACAGAAAACAGGUUAAAAUAUGAACUAGCAUUAAAGAAAACAGGUUAAAAUAUGAACUAGCAUUAAAGAAAACAGGUUAAAAUAUGAACUAGCAUUACAGAAAACAGGUUAAAAUAUGAAGUAGCAUUAAAGAAAACAGGUUAAAAUAUGAAGUAGCAUUACAGAAAACAGGCUAAACCAUUAACUAGCAUUACAGAAAACAGGUUAAAAUAUGAACUAGCAUUACAGAAAACAGGUUAAAAUAUGAACUAGCAUUACAGAAAACAGGCUAAAAUAUGAACUAGCAUUACAGAAAACAGGCUAAAAUAUGAACUAGCAUUACAGAAAACAGGCUAAACCAUUAACUAACAUUACAGAAAACAGGUUAAAAUAUGAACUAGCAUUACAGUACACAAACUUAACCAUGAAUUAGCAUUACACAUAACAAACUAAACCAUGAACUACUAUUAUAGCAAACAGGCUAAACCAUAACCUAGCAUUACAAUAAAAAGGCAAAAUCUAUGGACUAGCAUUAUAGUAAACAGUUCAAAUAUGAACGAGUAAUCAAUGACCUAACAUUACAACAAAUCAUUAAAUCAUGAACUAGCAUUUUAGUAAACUGGCUAAACUAUGGGCUAGCAUUAUACUAAACAGCUAACAUAUAAACAUGAAUUUCUUAGUGAGAUUUUGUAGCAAAAAUACACAUCUAGCUUAAUACACUGGCAUUUUAAACUUCUGAAAACCACAAGAUGUGAAAUUACUUAAUUUACAAAUCAUUCUUGAUGACUCAUAAAACAAACAGUCAAUAUGUUGUUAUUAUCAAGAAAUUAAUGGAUAAACACCAACACCAAGCUAAUGGGUAGUUGGCCAGGGAUGGGGGGAGGUCAUAUUUUCUCUUCACUUUGCUUCCUCAAGCAAAACAAAAGUGUGCCAUUACUGUGGACUAUAAAUGUGUGUUCAUGUGAAUGUAAAAUUCCACUACAACUCGACACACAAUUUCCACACUCUGUUUUCAAGAAAAUGUUUCCUUUUGCCACUUUUGCCUUCGCAAACAUCAAACAUCAGGAGCAUCUGAGGCCCUUCCACAGGCCUGACAAUGUGACCUAGUAAUACAAUAUCACUUCAUUAAAACUGUGCACACAUGCUCACAAACAGUUGUUCUUUAAUCUUCUACCAACUGUUUGGUAUUUGUUGGACAGAUAAAGCAUAUGAGAUAUAGACAUAACUGACCAACAAUAAUAUUUGUGCUCAGUAAAUCCACAUCAUUCAAAUGUUGUUUACUGCAGUAAUACAUCAUAAAUCACAAUGCUGAAUAGAGUUCCUGGUGCUAACUUUUGAUCUAAAGGAAUACAGCCAGGUUUGUUAACCUCACUGCAUGGCUAUCGUUACACCUAGCUUGCACAACAACACAAGCUUCAACAAACCAUGAAGCUUAAAAAUGAACCAUGAAGCAGUUACAUGAUCUGAAGUCAUGAUCAGGUAACUACCUGACAACAAUAAAAAUUUAACUUGUGUAAUAGACCAGAGAUCUUUUGAAAUCCAUUAAUUGAUGCGUAGUGACUCUGAAAAUUAGCAUACAGUCUUCUGUCAAACUGCUGGAACGGCAAGGCCAGUUCAUUUAUUUUUGCUGUAGACUGAACACAUCUGGCCUUGAGAUCAAAAGAUGAAUAUGAGAAGAGAGUUUAGAAUUUCAGCUUUUAUUUCCUGGUACUUACAACCCCAAUUCCAAAAAAGUUGGGACACUGUGUAAAAUGUACAUAAAUGUAAAUAAAAACAGAAUGCAAAGAUUUGCAAAUCCCAUAAACCCAUAUGUUAUUUACAAUAGAACAUAUGAAAACAUAUCAAAUGUUUAAACUGAGUAAAUGUACCAUUUAAAGAAAUAAAUAAGGUAGUUUUGAAUUUGAUGGCCGUAAACAUGUCUCAAAAAAGUUGGGACGGGGGCAACAAAAGGCUGGAAAAGUAAGUGUUAGUAAAAAAGACACAGCUGGAGGUUAAUUGGGAACAGGUCAGUAACAUGACUGGGUAUAAAAAGAGUAUCUUCUAGAGGCGGAGUCUUUCAGAAGUAAAGAUGGGCAGAGGUUCACCAAUCUGCGAAAACCUGCAUCUACAAUUUGUGGAACAAUUUCAGAAUAAUGUUCCUCAAUGUAAAAUUGCGAAGACUAUGAAUAUCUCAUCAUCAACAGUACGUAAUAUCGUCAAAAGAUUCAGAGAAUCUGGUCAAAUCUCUGUGAAAUCUCCACCUUUUUGGAAUUGGGAUGUGUUGAACAACACAAAACAGAACCUUUUUUAUCAGACCACCCAAUUGUUAGGCGAGUAAAAGUAUAGAAACAGACAAGUCUUGAAGUAAAUUAAAGUAAAUAGCAGUUAAUAUUUGUUUGAUUAUCCCUUGCUUGCAAUAACUGCACCAAGUCUGCGACUCACUAACACCACCAAAUUACUGGUGUCUUCUUUUGUGGUGCUUUUCCAGCCUUCUACAGGAGCUUCUUUUAGUUGUUGUUGUUGUUUUUUUGUUUUGUUUGUUUUUUUUUUUU